UUGUAGCAAGUCAACCCCACCAGGUUCCCUUCCUCAUGGGGGCCCAGUGUGCAGUGACUGCAAACACCAUUCUUCUUGGUGAUAUGUGCAACCUGUUGCUUGUAUGAGUUGCCCUAAGGGACCUUGAAGACAGUU
Small nucleolar RNA from Nannospalax galili (Upper Galilee mountains blind mole rat), 135 nucleotides. Its record names the gene SNORA70. It matches the Rfam family "Small nucleolar RNA SNORA70". Rfam says of the family: snoRNA U70 seems to be exclusive to mammals and is a member of the H/ACA class of snoRNA which contain H (ANANNA) and ACA box motifs. H/ACA box snoRNAs are involved in the conversion of uridines to pseudouridines (5-ribosyluracil) a constituent of structural RNAs (transfer, ribosomal, small nuclear, and small nucleolar). The record is from Ensembl. Lineage: Eukaryota; Metazoa; Chordata; Mammalia; Rodentia; Spalacidae.